Molecule: long non-coding RNA, 2601 nt
Organism: Myotis daubentonii (Daubenton's bat)
Lineage: Eukaryota; Metazoa; Chordata; Mammalia; Chiroptera; Vespertilionidae
Exons: 2
Source: RefSeq, a predicted model, not a curated record
AUAGGGAUGCUUUGUCUGCUACAGUGUCUGGGGCAACUGCUGGAAGACAGAGGUUGAAGGUGACUUGAUAGUUGAAGGCUGAAAUCACCUGAAGUCUUGGUAAUAGUCUGUGGAAGCCUGUUGUUGGCUGGAACCUUCGCUGGGGCUGUUGGUCAGAACACAUACAACCUGCAGUACCUACCAACAUGACAGCGUCUCAAGAGGGUCAGGCAGAGCUGUGUUGCCUUCCCUAACCGAGCUUUGGGAGUCACACCUGCCACAUUCUGUUUCUUGAGGCAGUCACAUAGGCACACCCCACCCAAUUUCAAAGGGAAAUCAAGCCUGGCCAGCGUCGUUCAGUUGUUGAAUGUCAACCUAUGAACCAGGAAGUCGAUUUGAUUCCUGAUCAGGGCACAUGUCGGUUGCAAAUCAAUCCCCAGUGGGGGUUGUGCAGGAGGCAGCCAAUCAGUGAUUCUCAUCAUUGAUGUUUCUAUUUCUCCCUCUCCCUUCUUCUCUGAAAUCAAUAAAAAUAUUUUUUUUAAUAAUAAAAAUAAAAUAAAAAAGGGUGUGGGGGAUCGACUCCACUUCUUGAUAGGGGAGUUGCAAGAUUCUGGAAGAGAGUGCAGAACUGGGAAUGUGGCCAGUAUUUGGAAUCACAAUCUGGCACAGUCUAUCAGAUUUCUCUCAGAAUCAGCAGACACCUCCAGGGAAAAGAAAGAAGAUCUCCAAUACUAGGCUCAUCCUGGGCUUUUUUCCUCUCUAGUCUUGGCCCCACAAUUCUUCACUUCCUUGGUAGCUUUACAAUGCCUUUUUAAAAUGUUUUCUCCAGCUUUUUUAGUUAUUCUCAAUGAAAAGGAGUUGGAACCAUAUAACUCAGUCCACCUUCUGAACAGGGUGCCCUAGGCAUUGCUUUUAGAAUGUACACAAUAAAAAGUCUGUAUCCCCAAAGGAACAUAUCGCAUAUUUACUCCUGUCAUAUGCUAACAUUAAACAUUGAACACAUGAAGUUUUAGAAAUGUGAGAAAUAAUAAUGAGGACAUACAAACUAAUUACAACUUCAUUAAAAAAGUUAAUGCAUUUAGAGAAGUACUGGAGAUGUUCAUGAGGUUGAAAAUUAAAGGCAGCCAUGUGUACUUUUUUUGUAAAAUUAAACACUGAUUUUCCCCUCUCCAACAUUUUAUCAUGAAAACCUUCAAACAUAUAUUAAAUUGAAAGAAUUUUACAGUGAAUACCUGUACCACUUGGAGUCUAUCACUGACAUUUUAACAUAUUUAUCACACAUCUUUCCAUCCCUAUAUCCAUCUGGCUACUAUCUUAUUUUUUAAAUUUGAUGUGUUUUUAUUGACUUCAGAGAGGAUGGGAGAGGGAGAGAUAGAAACAUCAAUGAUGAGAGAGAAUCAUUGGUUGGCUGACUCCUGCAGCCCCGAGGCAUGUGCCCUGACUGGGAAUCAAACCAUGACCUCCUGGUUCAUAGGUUGACAUGCAACCACUGAGAUACAAGGGCCGGACAAUCUGUCAUUGUUAAUGCAUUCCAAAGUAAGUUGCAGUCAUUUGCACACCUACCUCUAAAUAUUUCAGAAUGCAUUUCACUAGUUAGAGUUCAUUUGUUUGUAAUUUGUGUUUUUUUCCCAAUCCUAUAUAAUAAAGAGCUAAUAUGCAAAUGGUCCUCAUGCCCUUGAGCCAGAACUGUUCAGACACUCAACACUGGGGAGAGAGGAAUGGGGACCAGCCAGGCACAAAUGAGCUCAUGAGAGAGGAAUGGGGACCAGCCAGGCUGUGGCCCUGGAGAGGGACAAGCUGUCUGCCCUGCAGUCCUGGGUGCCAGUGCCUGUGGCUGCAGCCUGGGCGAACCACCCGCCCACGGUACCCUGUGGCUGCAGCCGGCCGGGUCCUGGGUGCCUGCGGCCAGCCAGAGGGAGGGAAGCCCCGGUCCUGGGUAUCUGCGACCGGCUGGAGGAGGGAAUCCUGGGUCCUGGGUGUAGGGUGAGGCAGAGGUGGUUAGAGGCAAUCAGGCCAGCAGGGGUGCAGUUAGGGAUGACCAGGCUGGUAGGGGAGCAGUUAGGGGCGAUCAGGCAGGCAGGCAGAGGUGGUUAGGGGUGAUCAGGCAGAGGGGUUAGGGGCAAGCAGGCAGGCAAGCGGUUAGGAGCCAGUGGUCCUGGAUUGCGAGAGGCGGUCAGACAUCCCCCAAGGGGUCCCAGAUUGGAGAGGGUGCAGGCUGGGCUGAGGUACACCACCACCACCCCUGUGCACAGAUUUCAUGUACCAGGCCUCUAGUCAAUAUAUAAAAUGUUCAGAUCUUAAGUGUACAUUUGCUAAGUUUUGACAAAUGCACAUAUAUACCUAUAGUGACAUCUUAAAAACAACCAGGAUUUUUUUUUUCUUCAAAUCCUCCACUGAUCAAUUUAUAAAUUUGUGUAAAAUGCCUUCUACCACCCUAGCCGGUUUGGCUCAGUAGAUAGAGUGUCAGCCUGCGGGCCGAAGAGCCCCAAGUUUGAUUCCAGUCAGUGGCACAUGCCUGGGUUGGGGGCUUGGUCCAUCAUGCAGGAGGCAGCCAAUCAAUGAUUCCCUCUCAUCAUUAAUGUUUCUAUCUCUUCCUCUCUGAAAUAAAUAAAAAUAUAUAUU